RNAcentral lists this ribosomal RNA (500 nucleotides) under uncultured bacterium. RNAcentral's name for it is "partial 16S ribosomal RNA". It matches the Rfam family "Bacterial small subunit ribosomal RNA", at positions 29 to 523 of the family's 1533-position model. The record is from RNAcentral.
AUUGAACGCUGGCGGAAUGCUUUACACAUGCAAGUCGAACGGCAGCACGGGGGCAACCCUGGUGGCGAGUGGCGAACGGGUGAGUAAUACAUCGGAACGUGCCCAGUCGUGGGGGAUAACGUAGCGAAAGCUACGCUAAUACCGCAUACGAUCUACGGAUGAAAGCGGGGGAUCGCAAGACCUCGCGCGGUUGGAGCGGCCGAUGGCAGAUUAGGUAGUUGGUGGGGUAAGGGCUCACCAAGCCGACGAUCUGUAGCUGGUCUGAGAGGACGACCAGCCACACUGGGACUGAGACACGGCCCAGACUCCUACGGGAGGCAGCAGUGGGGAAUUUUGGACAAUGGGCGCAAGCCUGAUCCAGCCAUUCCGCGUGCAGGAUGAAGGCCCUCGGGUUGUAAACUGCUUUUGUACGGAACGAAGAGCCUUCUUCUAAUACAGGAGGGUCAUGACGGUACCGUAAGAAUAAGCACCGGCUAACUACGUGCCAGCCGCCGCGGUAA